CAGCCAACGGCAGCACAACCAAACUCCCAGCGUCCAGAUCAGAGCCAACAACGAAUUCAUCGCGUCCAAGGAUCAAGGAACAGAGCCGGGAUCUUCUUAACCGCAUCUCGCUUCAUUUCAUCCUUAUCCCCUGCGUGAUAACAGAGGCUGUGAAGGCUAUAAAAGGGAAUCAAUGCAUGCAGGCUAGAGGCAUUCCUCCUCUUCCCCAC
Molecule: long non-coding RNA, 209 nt
Filed under: Phoenix dactylifera (date palm)
Lineage: Eukaryota; Viridiplantae; Streptophyta; Magnoliopsida; Arecales; Arecaceae
Description: long non-coding RNA (PDAC_LNC014397)
Source: RNAcentral